Molecule: long non-coding RNA, 1158 nt
Organism: Cavia porcellus (domestic guinea pig)
Lineage: Eukaryota; Metazoa; Chordata; Mammalia; Rodentia; Caviidae
Exons: 4
Source: RefSeq, a predicted model, not a curated record
CUGUGCAUGUUCUCAGUUGAGAUGAGAUCAUUUGUGUACAGUGAGCCUUUAAUCUGGUAUGACUGGUGUCCCUGGGAGAAGGCCUGAGAGACACACAGAGAAAACAGCAGGUGACAUUAGAAGCAGAGAGUAGAGUGGUGCGUCUGAGGAUUUGAAGUCACCAUCAGAAGCUGGGAAAAGAUUUAAAAAGAUGCACCGAGCUUACCGGGCCAGAUAAAAAGCUGAACCAGUGAACAAGACAAAGUUCCUGGUAUGGAAACAGUCAUGGUCCUAUGGGAGAGACAGGCUCACAGACAAUUUUGAUGGAGAAACCACAGAGAUCCAAGCCAAUGGCCUUGGUUUGUUUCACUCGAGAAAGAGCUCUGUGAAGAGCCACUUCAGGUUUCAAUCUUCGGGGGGCUGCAGGAUUGACUCAGUACCACGCGUCUGUAUCUGCUCUUACAGCUUCCCUGCAUAAGGAGGUCUGUGUAACAGGAACCAUCUUCUCCUGUCCCACAGUACAGAGGCCACAGCUCCUGACUCUACUUCCUUUCUGAGCUGACCCAGGUCGAAGGCUCCUCAAAUAGCAGAGUGAACUGUUGACUUGACCAAUAACUUUCAGUUUUGAUUGGACUCAGAUGUUCCGGAGAAAACAGCCUGGAUUGUAUUCUCAGGCAGAAGCAUCUGAAAGAUUCUUGGGGAUGAUGGGGUAAGCCUAAACAUGAUAAAAUUUGGCAGGGAUAUACGUAAGGCUUUGGUUUAUGAAUAAUAAUAAUAAUAAUAAAAUCUGCUACUUGAGUUCAGGUCACUUGGCAGCAAAGAAAGAAGAAAACUAGUCAUUGUUAAUAUCAAUGUUAGUUAAAACAUUCUGGUGCUUUUUCUUAUGUGUGAAUGUGUGGGAAGCCCUGUAAUUGGCUGCCACCUUGUAUCUGCAGGCAGCACCACCUUAACCUCCUCUAGGAGUUAAGUUUGGUAGUUAAGCAGCUCCUUGCCUAGCUUGUUUGGCCCAUUCAAGGAUUAUGUUAAUCAGCCUGCAUGUGGGAAAUUUGAAAAUUUGAAUUAACCUAUAACCCUCAGUCUUGCCACUGUUGCUAAGUUACCUGCUGAUGUCUCAGAACCCAACUUCCCACUCCCCCAAUACCCUGUAUAUUUGAUACUCUUUCUUUGAAUAAACGAGAC